RNAcentral lists this long non-coding RNA (448 nucleotides) under Mytilus galloprovincialis (Mediterranean mussel). The record is from RNAcentral. Lineage: Eukaryota; Metazoa; Mollusca; Bivalvia; Mytilida; Mytilidae.
UGUUAUGAUAUUGUAAUUAUUGUAUUUAUUUAUGUUGGCCUGAUUUGUGUUGUGUGGCCUGAUAGUUGUUUACAGAAUAAUCUUAGAACUGUGCAGUUUAGAAAUCACUGGAACAAUCACAGAAUGAUUGGAACUUUCCAUUUGACUUACACAAUGAUUCCAGAAUGACCCUAAUAAAAGAUGCGUUAUAUAAACUUCUACAUUUUACUAGAAACUUCCGUUGUAACUUUCUAGGAUGUUCCAUUAUAGACUGUUCUAGAAUUUUCCGUGACAACUAUAUAUAUAUACAGACACUAAAGUUAAAGUCUCACACUUAGACUUAGACAUCGAUAGACAUUAAUAUUCAUAGCAUUUGGAUUGACACUUUUAUUCUACAAACAACAUCAUACUGGAUUGUGACCGUAGUAGUGAACGUAAUAUUCAGAUUGGAUUCCGAAAGAUAUCCAGA